Molecule: ribosomal RNA, 497 nt
Filed under: uncultured bacterium
Lineage: Bacteria
Description: partial 16S ribosomal RNA
Rfam family: Bacterial small subunit ribosomal RNA
Source: RNAcentral
GAUGAACGCUGGCGGCGUGCUUAAUACAUGCAAGUCGAGCGAACAGACGAGGAGCUUGCCUCUCUGACGUUAGACGCGGACGGGUGAGUAACAAGCGGACAACCUACCUAUAAGACUCGAAUAACUUCGGGAACCAAUACCUAAUACCGUAUAAUAUAUAGAACGGCAUGCCUCAAUAGUGCAAGAGGGUUUUGCUGUCAAUGUCAGAUGGAGUCGCGCCUGAUUAGCUAGUUGGUAAGGUAAAGGCUUACCAAGGCAACGAUGAGUAGACGGCCUGAGAGGGUGAUCAGCCACACUGGAACUGAGACACGGUCCAGACUCCUACGGGAGGCAGCAGUAGGGAAUUUUGGACAAUGGGCGAAAGCCUGAUCGAGCAACGCCGCGUGCAUGAUGAAGGUCUUCGGAUCGUAAAAUUCUGUUGUUCGGAAAGAACCAAUGUGGGUGUAUCUAUGCACGUAAUGACGGUACCGUAUCAGUAAGCCCCGGCUAACUACGUG